UGGGGAAUAUUGGACAAUGGGCGAAAGCCUGAUCCAGCCAUGCCGCGUGUGUGAAGAAGGUCUUCGGAUUGUAAAGCACUUUAAGUUGGGAGGAAGGGUUGUAGAUUAAUACUCUGCAAUUUUGACGUUACCGACAGAAUAAGCACCGGCUAACUCUGUGCCAGCAGCCGCGGUAAUACAGAGGGUGCAAGCGUUAAUCGGAAUUACUGGGCGUAAAGCGCGCGUAGGUGGUUUGUUAAGUUGGAUGUGAAAUCCCCGGGCUCAACCUGGGAACUGCAUCCAAAACGGGCAAGCUAGAGUAUGGUAGAGGGUGGUGGAAUUUCCUGUGUAGCGGUGAAAUGCGUAGAUAUAGGAAGGAACACCAGUGGCGAAGGCGACCACCUGGACUGAUACUGACACUGAGGUGCGAAAGCGUGGGGAGCAAACA
RNAcentral lists this ribosomal RNA (427 nucleotides) under uncultured Pseudomonas sp. RNAcentral's name for it is "bacterial SSU rRNA". It matches the Rfam family "Bacterial small subunit ribosomal RNA", at positions 355 to 774 of the family's 1533-position model. Lineage: Bacteria; Pseudomonadati; Pseudomonadota; Gammaproteobacteria; Pseudomonadales; Pseudomonadaceae. The record is from RNAcentral.